Molecule: non-coding RNA, 72 nt
Organism: Podarcis lilfordi (Lilford's wall lizard)
Lineage: Eukaryota; Metazoa; Chordata; Lepidosauria; Squamata; Lacertidae
Source: the annotation of a GenBank genome assembly
GUUCAUAAUAUCUGAGAACUUCAUAGAAUCAUAGAAUUCUAUGAUUCUAUGAAGUUCUCAGAUAUUAUGAAC